GAUGAAGAACGCAGCGAAAUGCGAUAAGUAAUGUGAAUUGCAGAAUUCAGUGAAUCAUCGAAUCUUUGAACGCACAUUGCGCCCGCCAGUAUUCUGGCGGGCAUGCCUGUUCGAGCGUCAUUUCAACCAUCAAGCCCCCGGCUUGUGUUGGGGACCUGCGGCUGCCGCAGGCCCUGAAAAGCAGUGGCGGGCUCGCUGUCACACCGAGCGUAGUAGCAUACAUCUCGCUCUGGGCGUGCUGCGGGUUCCGGCCGUUAAACCACCUUCAUAACCCAAGGUUGACCUCGGAUCAGGUAGGAAGACCCGCUGAACUUAAGCAUAUCAGUAAGCGGAGGA
This 336-nucleotide unclassified non-coding RNA is filed under the name soil metagenome. RNAcentral's name for it is "partial contains 5.8S ribosomal RNA, internal transcribed spacer 2, and large subunit ribosomal RNA". The stretch from base 1 to 120 matches the Rfam family "5.8S ribosomal RNA", at positions 35 to 154 of the family's 154-position model. The record is from RNAcentral.